AAUGGGUCAGCGACUUAUAUUCUGUAGCAAGGUUAACCGAAUAGGGGAGCCGAAGGGAAACCGAGUCUUAACUGGGCGUUAAGUUGCAGGGUAUAGACCCGAAACCCGGUGAUCUAGCCAUGGGCAGGUUGAAGGUUGGGUAACACUAACUGGAGGACCGAACCGACUAAUGUUGAAAAAUUAGCGGAUGACUUGUGGCUGGGGGUGAAAGGCCAAUCAAACCGGGAGAUAGCUGGUUCUCCCCGAAAGCUAUUUAGGUAGCGCCUCGUGAAUUCAUCUCCGGGGGUAGAGCACUGUUUCGGCAAGGGGGUCAUCCCGACUUACCAACCCGAUGCAAACUGCGAAUACCGGAGAAUGUUAUCACGGGAGACACACGGCGGGUGCUAACGUCCGUCGUGAAGAGGGAAACAACCCAGACCGCCAGCUAAGGUCCCAAAGUCAUGGUUAAGUGGGAAACGAUGUGGGAAGGCCCAGACAGCCAGGAUGUUGGCUUAGAAGCAGCCAUCAUUUAAAGAAAGCGUAAUAGCUCACUGGUCGAGUCGGCCUGCGCGGAAGAUGUAACGGGGCUAAACCAUGCACCGAAGCUGCGGCAGCGACACUAUGUGUUGUUGGGUAGGGGAGCGUUCUGUAAGCCUGUGAAGGUGUACUGUGAGGUAUGCUGGAGGUAUCAGAAGUGCGAAUGCUGACAUAAGUAACGAUAAAGCGGGUGAAAAGCCCGCUCGCCGGAAGACCAAGGGUUCCUGUCCAACGUUAAUCGGGGCAGGGUGAGUCGACCCCUAAGGCGAGGCCGAAAGGCGUAGUCGAUGGGAAACAGGUUAAUAUUCCUGUACUUGGUGUUACUGCGAAGGGGGGACGGAGAAGGCUAUGUUGGCCGGGCGACGGUUGUCCCGGUUUAAGCGUGUAGGCUGGUUUUCCAGGCAAAUCCGGAAAAUCAAGGCUGAGGCGUGAUGACGAGGCACUACGGUGCUGAAGCAACAAAUGCCCUGCUUCCAGGAAAAGCCUCUAAGCAUCAGGUAACAUCAAAUCGUACCCCAAACCGACACAGGUGGUCAGGUAGAGAAUACCAAGGCGCUUGAGAGAACUCGGGUGAAGGAACUAGGCAAAAUGGUGCCGUAACUUCGGGAGAAGGCACGCUGAUAUGUAGGUGAAGUCCCUCGCGGAUGGAGCUGAAAUCAGUCGAAGAUACCAGCUGGCUGCAACUGUUUAUUAAAAACACAGCACUGUGCAAACACGAAAGUGGACGUAUACGGUGUGACGCCUGCCCGGUGCCGGAAGGUUAAUUGAUGGGGUUAGCGCAAGCGAAGCUCUUGAUCGAAGCCCCGGUAAACGGCGGCCGUAACUAUAACGGUCCUAAGGUAGCGAAAUUCCUUGUCGGGUAAGUUCCGACCUGCACGAAUGGCGUAAUGAUGGCCAGGCUGUCUCCACCCGAGACUCAGUGAAAUUGAACUCGCUGUGAAGAUGCAGUGUACCCGCGGCAAGACGGAAAGACCCCGUGAACCUUUACUAUAGCUUGACACUGAACAUUGAGCCUUGAUGUGUAGGAUAGGUGGGAGGCUUUGAAGUGUGGACGCCAGUCUGCAUGGAGCCGACCUUGAAAUACCACCCUUUAAUGUUUGAUGUUCUAACGUUGGCCCGUUAUCCGGGUUGCGGACAGUGUCUGGUGGGUAGUUUGACUGGGGCGGUCUCCUCCUAAAGAGUAACGGAGGAGCACGAAGGUUGGCUAAUCCUGGUCGGACAUCAGGAGGUUAGUGCAAUGGCAUAAGCCAGCUUGACUGCGAGCGUGACGGCGCGAGCAGGUGCGAAAGCAGGUCAUAGUGAUCCGGUGGUUCUGAAUGGAAGGGCCAUCGCUCAACGGAUAAAAGGUACUCCGGGGAUAACAGGCUGAUACCGCCCAAGAGUUCAUAUCGACGGCGGUGUUUGGCACCUCGAUGUCGGCUCAUCACAUCCUGGGGCUGAAGUAGGUCCCAAGGGUAUGGCUGUUCGCCAUUUAAAGUGGUACGCGAGCUGGGUUUAGAACGUCGUGAGACAGUUCGGUCCCUAUCUGCCGUGGGCGCUGGAGAACUGAGGGGGGCUGCUCCUAGUACGAGAGGACCGGAGUGGACGCAUCACUGGUGUUCGGGUUGUCAUGCCAAUGGCACUGCCCGGUAGCUAAAUGCGGAAGAGAUAAGUGCUGAAAGCAUCUAAGCACGAAACUUGCCCCGAGAUGAGUUCUCCCUGACUCCCUGAGAGUCCUGAAGGAACGUUGAAGACGACGACGUUGAUAGGCCGGGUGUGUAAGCGCAGCGAUGCGUUGAGCUAACCGGUACUAAUGAACCGUGAGG
This 2321-nucleotide ribosomal RNA is filed under the name Escherichia coli. Its description in RNAcentral is "partial 23S ribosomal RNA". It matches the Rfam family "Bacterial large subunit ribosomal RNA", at positions 614 to 2915 of the family's 2925-position model. Lineage: Bacteria; Pseudomonadati; Pseudomonadota; Gammaproteobacteria; Enterobacterales; Enterobacteriaceae. The record is from RNAcentral.